Long non-coding RNA from Polypterus senegalus (gray bichir), 2014 nucleotides. RefSeq lists it as uncharacterized. The transcript is spliced from 4 exons. The record is from RefSeq and is a predicted model, not a curated record. Lineage: Eukaryota; Metazoa; Chordata; Cladistia; Polypteriformes; Polypteridae.
GCCUGCCCGCCCGCCCGCGGCGCCGGUGGAUUGUGGGAUUUCGACGUCGGGGGUGCGAAGGUCGCCAGUGGAAAAAAAUUAAAAAUAAAAGUCCCCGAUGAAGUCGCGUCUUCCGGGGGAGCGGAGCUCGUUGAUACUUUCCACGUUUUGUCGUGAUACGUGUGAUUAUUAUAAAAGGCUUGUCCUCCUUUCACUCGAGUUUCAAUCGUAUUGCUAAAAUAUUUAAUGACGCAUUUUACCGUCUGAAAGGCUGCAGCUUCCACCAUCCAGACAAACGAAAUGCGCAGCACAAAUAAAACAAACGCCGUCAAGUAAUCGUCAGGUGUCAAAGAGACGCGGAAAUCACCCGAAGGGCUCGGAGGACGUGACCGUUCGGCCUUAAAUAAAACAGAAUAGCCGUUCAAAUAAAAACGUCGGUAAUUAUUAUGGGACGAGUUUUGAAACGAAUCUGACCGCAUCUGGCUGCAUGAAAAAAAAAAAAACAAACUAACGGUUCUACAGCCUGCCAUGGAGGCCGGUGGGCUUCUACCAACGUCAUGGUGGGCAAAGGAAGGCGCUGAAAUGUGAAAUGAUGAAAUUAAUAAAGAGCAAGUGUGAAUGGACUUUUUUAAUAAAAAGAAAACGGAGCUUCCAGACAUGUUUACAUUUCACGUUUCUAGUUUAGUUUUGAAAAGAUACACGCGAAUUCUUAUUGUUUAUUUGCUGAUUCGAUUUUUAUUCGUUUCACUUUUAAUGCAAACGGAACUUAUUUUAGAUGCAUUGACAACCCCUCUGCUCUCCUUCACACGGCGCUUACGGUGCUAGUCACGGUCUCACUUAUAUUACACACAUUAAGUUAAAAACGAAUUUGGAAAUCUACAGGAGGAUGCGAGGCCAGAGGACUGAGGAAAAAAAGAAAGAAAAAAUUAAAGAAAAGAAAAACUGACAUUGAGAGAAAAAUAAUAAAUAUAAAAACGACCACUUCGCGCGUAUAUGACGUCUGUUAACACGUGAUAUCAGCUACGCUAGAGUUGUGAUGGGCGCUAAAUAACAGAAACGUCAAAAAUAAACUCAAAAAGCAGCAACCUGCCUGGCACCUCCUGUAUGUGCGCAGAAAAAUCCAUUGUGCUUAAAGCGCAAGGCCAUCUGGGUAGGCUGCCGCCACCUCCUUCGGAUUUGAAUUUUGAAUUUCCAGUACAUGUCGGCUCAGUAGCUUUCGAUUACGAACAAAAUCAGGGCUCGGGACCCGGUGUGCCGCGAGUAGUCUUAGAGAUGACGAACAGCCACAUAAUCAGAGCACAGAACAAUGCAAUUGAAGUACGGCGAGAGGUGGCCAUUCGUUACCUGGUUGUCUGCCUUGGAGAAAAGGAGCAGGACCUCUUCAAGGAGUUUAAUAUUGGCACUUUGGACCCCAACAAACAACAAAAGCGAGUUACAUUUGUCUCCAUAGCUACUGUGUGAUGGCAAUGCUGCUCACUGCUCAUAUUAUGGAAGAGUUUGAAGCAAACCUUGACAGCCAAGUAUUGAACAUCACCAUCAUCAAAGACCAGGAUCUGAACACUGGAACCGUUGUGAUCGAGGGAGACGAAAUCCUGGAUGGUAUUGACGUCCCAAGGUGCUGUGCUGUGCUCUCAAUCUGAGCUUCUCAAGGAUCUCAAAUGUUUCUUUGAACGAGAUGCACUAAAAACAAGUGGAAAAGUAAUGAAUCUCGAGCACAGCAUUUUCUAAGAAGACUUUUCUUUCAAACCACUGCCAAAUCUUUUUAACCCGUGUUAUUAUUUAAUCCAUAAUCAGCUGUUUCAAUGGUCAACAUUUUCAGGUUUUGUUUUAAAUUUGUGUUGAUUAUGGCUUUGUAAGACUGUGUUCAGAGAAUGCUGCUCUGUUGUCCAAGAAUAUUCUUAGAUCAGAGUGUUGUGUGUCUGUACCUCAGGAUCUUUGGAAGCACUUGGUAUUUUGGUACAUUUGUGAAUUUCCCCUUGGGAUUAAUAAAGUAUCUAUCUAUCUAUUAUAUAGUGCCUUUCACUCUAUCUAUCUA